Molecule: ribosomal RNA, 438 nt
Filed under: uncultured bacterium
Lineage: Bacteria
Description: bacterial SSU rRNA
Rfam family: Bacterial small subunit ribosomal RNA
Source: RNAcentral
AACGCGAAGAACCUUACCUGGGCUCGAAAUGUAGUGGACUGGGGUAGAAAUAUCGUCUUCCCGCAAGGGACAGUAGUAGAGGUGCUGCAUGGCUGUCGUCAGCUCGUGCCGUGAGGUGUUGGGUUAAGUCCCGCAACGAGCGCAACCCUUAUUCGUAGUUGCCACCCGCAAGGGGGAACUCUACGAGGACUGCUCCGGAUAACGGAGAGGAAGGUGGGGAUGACGUCAAGUCAGCAUGGCCCUUUAUGUCCAGGGCUACACACGUGUUACAAUGCACGGUACAGACUGUUGCGAACCCGCGAGGGGGAGCUAAUCGGAGAAAACCGUGCUCAGUUCGGAUUGCAGUCUGCAACUCGACUGCAUGAAGCUGGAAUCGCUAGUAAUGGCGUAUCAGAUCGACGCCGUGAAUACGUUCCCGGGCUUGUACACACCGACAUA